Molecule: ribosomal RNA, 231 nt
Filed under: uncultured bacterium
Lineage: Bacteria
Description: partial 16S ribosomal RNA
Rfam family: Bacterial small subunit ribosomal RNA
Source: RNAcentral
UGAGCAACCUGCCCCUGGCUCUGGGAUAACUCCGGGAAACCGGAGCUAAUACCGGAUACGAGACCGAUUGGCAUCUUUACGGUCUGGAAAGUUUUUCGGCCAGGGAUGGGCUCGCGGCCUAUCAGCUUGUUGGUUGGGUAACGGCCCACCAAGGCGACGACGGGUAGCCGGCCUGAGAGGGCGACCGGCCACACUGGGACUGAGACACGGCCCAGACUCCUACGGGAGGCA